Molecule: long non-coding RNA, 926 nt
Organism: Cynoglossus semilaevis (tongue sole)
Lineage: Eukaryota; Metazoa; Chordata; Actinopteri; Pleuronectiformes; Cynoglossidae
Exons: 2
Source: RefSeq, a predicted model, not a curated record
UUUCCCCAAACUGCCCUGGAGAGUCCUCUCACACACAUUCAGCAGCAGAUUCCACCUCAGACCCUUUGAAAAAACCAACAAACAAAAACAAAAUCCUCUGACUCCGAGUGGCCACAUCUGAGGAGACAAAAGUUUCAGACGUCUGUCACACGCCAGCACAUGCCCUCCAACCCUGAGACAAUGGAGCCGCGAGAGGAGGUGUCCACAGGAAGAGGGUCAGGUCAGAAUCCUCCUUUCUCUCACAGUUCCUUUAUUCUCCACUCUCCAUACAAAUGUGUGUGUGUGUGUGUGUGUGUGUGUGUGUGUCAAAGAAAACUGCCUUUUUGUGUUAGUCGACCCACACCCCCCUCCAGUUGAAAUACUACUGAGAACCUGAUAAUGUGUAUAUGUUUAUCUGUACAAACCAAUGUAUGCGUUGCUGCCACCUAGUGGCUGGAGGCUUGUUGUCAUUCAAUACAACCAGAAAUAUAUGGUGAUGUUGUCAUAGUUGUGUCAUGGUGACUCCUGCUGACCCUGGAGUGAAGUGCUGUGUUGGACCAGGUGUAAAACUAGUGCAGAACUCAGUAAACAGAGCAACACGGUGCAGGGUUUAACAAUAGUAUAUUUUUUAGCAAAAACUAAGGACAAUCAAAUCUCAAACAUUUUUGGUUUUUCACAGACAAAAAGACAAAGUCAAGGUUUUUUUUUUUUGGUAUGAUAUCUUCAUUUCAUUGACACAACAGUCUUUAGUGAGGUAGAAUAAAAUGAAAAGAAAUGACUCCUCUAAGGAAAAGGUAGGGUUCUUUUUUUUCCCCCAACUGUGAUUGUGGAAAAUAAUGCACACAGUCGACUCAGACCAGGAACUACAGACACAGACUCUCACUGAAACCUGGGCUGCCAGCGGGAACAGAUGGAAAUACAGAUGUAUGUCAUAAGAAAAAAAAAAA